RNAcentral lists this ribosomal RNA (423 nucleotides) under uncultured bacterium. Its description in RNAcentral is "bacterial SSU rRNA". It matches the Rfam family "Bacterial small subunit ribosomal RNA", at positions 207 to 622 of the family's 1533-position model. The record is from RNAcentral.
AAGACCUUGCGCUUUUGGAGCGGCCGAUGCCUGAUUAGCUUGUUGGUAAGGUAAAGGCUUACCAAGGCUUCGAUCAGUAGCUGGUCUGAGAGGACGGCCAGCCACACUGGGACUGAGACACGGCCCAGACUCCUACGGGAGGCAGCAGUGGGGAAUUUUGGGCAAUGGGGGAAACCCUGAUCCAGCCAUGCCGCGUGAGUGAAGAAGGCCUUCGGGUUGUAAAGCUCUUUCAGCCGGAACGAAACGGUUACGGAUAAUACCCGUGACUACUGACGGUACCGGAAGAAGAAGCACCGGCUAACUACGUGCCAGCAGCCGCGGUAAUACGUAGGGUGCGAGCGUUAAUCGGAAUUACUGGGCGUAAAGCGUGCGCAGGUGGUUUUGUAAGUCAGAUGUGAAAGCCCCGGGCUCAACCUGGGAACU